UUAAAAAAAAAAAAAAAAAUUUUGCAUGAGUCGUUGUCUUGUAACAUCACAAAUCAAUUUAUCAGUUGGGCAUGCAAUGGGUCAACUAGCAGGCCUUGAUGUUGAAAUCCAUUAGAACACAAAUACACCUACAUUUUUUUUUAGAAUAUAAUAUUUAUAUUAAGUUGAUGUUUGUUAUACAUCAGAUCUGGUAAAGAUUUUGACAUCAC
Molecule: unclassified non-coding RNA, 209 nt
Filed under: Hevea brasiliensis (rubber tree)
Lineage: Eukaryota; Viridiplantae; Streptophyta; Magnoliopsida; Malpighiales; Euphorbiaceae
Source: RNAcentral